UACAGAGGUCUCGAGCGUUGGGCGGAAUCACUGGGCUUAAAGCGUGUGUAGGCGGAUCGUUAAGUGCCUUGUGAAAUCCCACGGCUCAACCGUGGAACUGCUUGGCAUACUGGCGGUCUUGAGCAACCUAGGGGCGAGCGGAACAAAUGGUGGAGCGGUGAAAUGCGUAGAUAUCAUUUGGAACGCCAAUGGUGAAAACAGCUCGCUGGGGGUUUGCUGACGCUGAGACACGAAAGCCAGGGGAGCAAACGGG
RNAcentral lists this ribosomal RNA (253 nucleotides) under uncultured bacterium. Its description in RNAcentral is "partial 16S ribosomal RNA". It matches the Rfam family "Bacterial small subunit ribosomal RNA", at positions 524 to 776 of the family's 1533-position model. The record is from RNAcentral.